Molecule: ribosomal RNA, 1209 nt
Filed under: metagenome
Description: bacterial SSU rRNA
Rfam family: Bacterial small subunit ribosomal RNA
Source: RNAcentral
GGAUGAACGGCCACAUUGGAACUGAGACACGGUCCAGACUCCUACGGGAGGCAGCAGUGGGGAAUCUUCCGCAAUGGGCGCAAGCCUGACGGAGCAACGCCGCGUGAGUGAAGAAGGGUUUCGACUCGUAAAGCUCUGUUGUCGGGGACGAACGUGGAGACGGCAAAUAGUCGUUUCCAAUGACGGUACCUGACGAGGAAGCCACGGCUAACUACGUGCCAGCAGCCGCGGUAAUACGUAGGUGGCGAGCGUUGUCCGGAAUUAUUGGGCGUAAAGGGAGCGCAGGCGGGAAGGUAAGUCUAUCUUAAAAGUGCGGGGCUCAACCCCGUGAGGGGAUGGAGACUAUCUUUCUUGAGUGCAGGAGAGGAAAGCGGAAUUCCUAGUGUAGCGGUGAAGUGCGUAGAUAUUAGGAGGAACACCAGUGGCGAAGGCGGCUUUCUGGACUGUAACUGACGCUGAGGCUCGAAAGCGUGGGGAGCGAACAGGAUUAGAUACCCUGGUAGUCCACGCCGUAAACGAUGAAUGCUAGGUGUAGGAGGUAUCGACCCCUUCUGUGCCGGAGUUAACGCAAUAAGCAUUCCGCCUGGGGAGUACGGCCGCAAGGCUGAAACUCAAAGGAAUUGACGGGGGCCCGCACAAGCGGUGGAGUAUGUGGUUUAAUUCGACGCAACGCGAAGAACCUUACCAGGGCUUGACAUUGAGUGAAAGGACAAGAGAUUGUCCCCUCUCUUCGGAAACACGAAAACAGGUGGUGCAUGGCUGUCGUCAGCUCGUGUCGUGAGAUGUUGGGUUAAGUCCCGCAACGAGCGCAACCCUUAUCCUUUGUUGCCAGCACGUUAUGGUGGGAACUCAAAGGAGACUGCCGCGGACAACGCGGAGGAAGGCGGGGAUGACGUCAAGUCAUCAUGCCCCUUAUGUCCUGGGCUACACACGUACUACAAUGGGAUGGACAGAGAGCAGCGAAGCCGCGAGGCCAAGCGAACCCCAUAAACCAUCUCCCAGUUCGGAUUGCAGGCUGCAACCCGCCUGCAUGAAGUUGGAAUCGCUAGUAAUCGCAGGUCAGCAUACUGCGGUGAAUACGUUCCCGGGCCUUGUACACACCGCCCGUCACACCACGGAAGUCAUUCACACCCGAAGCCGGCAGGCUAACCUUUUGGAGGCAGCCGUCUAAGGUGGGGGCGAUGACUGGGGUGAAGUCGUAACAAGGUA